Molecule: non-coding RNA, 75 nt
Organism: Podarcis lilfordi (Lilford's wall lizard)
Lineage: Eukaryota; Metazoa; Chordata; Lepidosauria; Squamata; Lacertidae
Source: the annotation of a GenBank genome assembly
GGACUAGCUCAGUUGGUUACAGGGUGGUGCUGAUAACGCCAAGGUUGCAGGUUCGAUCCCUGCAUUCCUGCACCA